This 813-nucleotide long non-coding RNA is filed under the name Spirodela polyrhiza (greater duckweed). RNAcentral's name for it is "long non-coding RNA (SPOL_LNC000272)". The record is from RNAcentral. Lineage: Eukaryota; Viridiplantae; Streptophyta; Magnoliopsida; Alismatales; Araceae.
CUCAGAACCUCAUAGCGAAGGACGGGCAGGGCUCCUCGAGCUCCUUCGUGGAGCUCCACUUCGCCGACCAAAAGUUCCGCACCUCGACGAAGACGGACCUCAACCCCGUGUGGAACGAACGCUUCUACUUCGACGUGCCGGACCCCGACCUGCUCCCUCAUUAUGCGCUAGAAGCGUUCGUCUACAGCGCCUCCGGCGGCAGCCUUUCCGCCAAGUCCUUCCUCGGAAAGGUGCGCCUCGUCGGAACCUCCUUCGUCCCCUACUCUGACGCGGUGGUCUUGCAGUGCCCUCUCGAGAAGCGCGGCAUCUUCUCCCGCGUCAGAGGGGAGCUUGGCCUCAAGGUCUACGUCACCGACGACCCCUCGGUCCGGCCGUCCAACCCUCUGCCGGCGAUCGACCCCUCCCUCAACAACCCUCCGCCGUCUCCGAUCUUCCGAGCUCAGGCGCCGCCUGCAAGCCCGCGCGCGGGCAUGUCCCCGGAGAAGAAGGCGUCCAGGUCGAGGCAGUCGUUCCAUCACCUCCCCAAGGGGAAGCGCUCGCCGGCGACGGCGAAGUCGACGGCGUAUGAGAUGAGGGCGGACUCAUCCGCGGCGGCGAGGGUCUUUGCCGCGGUACCUUCGUCGUCGUCGGCGGCGGCGGAGGCGAGGGUCUUUGCCGCGGUACCUUCGUCGUCGUCGGCGGCGAAGCAGGGUUUCAAAGCGGCGCCGAAGUUUCAAAGCGGCCAUGGCGGGCAGCCCUUUAAACCGCGCAUGGGGUCCCCCGAUAGGAGGGUGGGUAGUGGCUACGACCUCGUGGACCAAAUGGAGUACCUCU